RNAcentral lists this ribosomal RNA (400 nucleotides) under Demospongiae sp. GW6036. RNAcentral's name for it is "bacterial LSU rRNA". The record is from RNAcentral. Lineage: Eukaryota; Metazoa; Porifera; Demospongiae.
AGCCUGCUCCGGCAGGCUUAUGGUCGUCGUGACCACGUGUUCACUGUGAGAGGCUGGCACCCAGGCGGCACUGCCACUCGUGACGUGCGUCAGUUGGGGCGUGCCGAGCGGGAGCUGCCCUCCGGGGCGGUAUGCCGCACGUGGUGUGGCCCGUUUUCGACGGGGGAAAGGAGCCAGGUUCACCUCGCGGCCUGUCGGUCGGACAUUCAACAGUUCGCCCGUUCGGGCUGGGCUGGAUGGAACGACAGUCGGAAUACCGAGGUGAGGUUGGCGACGACCAGGCACGAGCGCUCCUCAUGCCGAGACGGAGGCUGCAUGUGGGCCCCUGUGCACCCGGGUGGACUACCGUGGAAGCCGUCCUUGGACUCGGACGCGUUAGUUGACGUUGGUUUGGAGCAAG